GCCCGAUAGGGGCCAGAGCCGGGCGACUGCGGCCGGGCGCACCCGCCACCUGCCCGCGGACUGCGGCGCAGCGGUCCCAGGAAGUGCGGCGGCGGCGGCGGCCUCCACUCAGCUCUGUUGUGACAGGGAGGGAGACUUGUUUUGACAGCCCUUGGGGAUUGGCAGGCGUCUGGGCCUCUUAGGAGCCUCGCCUCGCCGAGGGGGCUCGGCCCGACCAAUCCUCACUGCGGAGGGGUGUGCCCGAGCGCGAAGAAUGGAAUGUGUUCUGCAACUGGGAGCCGGCCCAGCGGGGCUAAUGUACUCGAGCCAGGGUGUACCCGCGCGCGCGCGUGUGCAAACCCGGAGGCGCUCCGUGUAUAUUUUAGGAAGUUUAGAUUUGCGAAAUGAGCCUGAGAUGCAACAAAAAUCCAGGUUGGGUGAAGGAGAGGGGAGAAAGAAACCUUCUUCUGCCAAACAAAGCAAUUUGGAGGAAAGUGGGUAUUGAGUAUGAAUGUCUAAGCGUUUGGGGUGACGGGGUGAAGCUUUGCGUGGUCACAGGUUAAUUGCAGGCUCUCAGGCCAAUUCUUAGAAGUCAAGUCCAUGCAGAGAUAAACUAGGGUUUACUGGGAUCUUGGGGUUCCAUAAUUUGCUUCAGGUUCCAGGAAAGGAUUCUAAGGUCAUUCUGCAGUGUGAGUAAAUAUAACAAGGAAAGGGAGUCAGUGAAAGAGAUGAGGGUGAAAGGAAACUGAACCAACUAAAUCCCUCCGAAGACUGACUCUUAAAAAGCACAGAUAUAAUCCAAGUCAGAUAAAUGCAGGUGGGGAGUUUAGUCUCUAUCCUAAAACAUUCCUAUUUGACAAUGGUUCAGCCUCCUUUCUCUAUAUAAUCCUAUAUAAAAACAUAUUUUGCUCAUUUCCAGUAAGCUAGCAACCAAGAAGGGAGAGAUCUUUGGAUGAUGAGUUAAGUCACUGAAAUUAUCCACAGAAUGCUCAGAUGCAAACCAUGGUCCUAAGGCUCCCUGAAUGCCAUCUCCAUGUGCCUAAAGACCUUGCGAUUUUAUUCAUUGCUGUAUCUCCAGCUCCCAGAACUAUGUCUGGAACAGAGUCUCCUAAUAAGUUAAAGGACGCAUUGCACGUAAUCAAAGAAGAGGACAUACAGCAUUUUCAGUUAAGUUGCAUGCAUCUUUACAUUCAGUCAUAGCCCUCCCCAAUAUACAUGGUGAUCAUUUUGUUUUGCUAGCUCAAGAAAACAGAAUUUGUAGGGUAAUUUGUAGAGUGAAUAUUAUAGUAGAGUAAAUACAUACAAGUCAAUAAAAGAUAAGCAAAACUUGAUAUAUGACCUCUUUGAAAUUCAAGUUUUUUCUUGAAAGUUUUUGUCACUUAUAUUAGGAAUUAAGAAAUUUCAGUAACUAAAACAUAAAAAUCAACUAAUCUUAUUUCAAAGAACAAGUAAAGUGUGCUCCAUUAUAACAGUCCUACAAAAAUGAGAAGUUACAAAUUGCUUAUAAUAGGUCUAGAUUCCCCAGUUUAAUAAAUCUUUAAAGUACUGAGAGGCAAUGAAUCUAAGAAAUCUUUAAUUACAGCCAAUGUUCUUCAAUGUCUGAUUACUGCUGCUUCUUUCAGAGGUUGAGAAAUCUCUACUGUCUGCAGGAGAGCAGAAUGCCUGGGCCUCUAUCCAUUAACACCAUUCCCACAGGAAUUACCCCAUGAAGACCCUGGGGCUAAGGCACUAUCAGGAGCUCCAGGCCAAUCAUCUGGCAGUAGUCUGUAUUGUGCAUGGCAAAGGUCUUUUAAAAAUAGACAGUGUUGAUUUAUUUUCUAUGUAUUAACUUACUUUGACGUGGAUCCUGGAGUUGGAGCUCAUGUCACGGUUUUUUCCCCCACUGAUGCAGAAGCCAGAGGCACUUAGGAAAAGUACCACUGAAAUGGCACAAAUAAGGCCCCCAUAAAAACUUGAUUCUCUGUUUUAUUUGACAACCGAAUCUUUUCCAGGUACAACGUUAUGACAGAAAUCUUUUCAAACCAGAUAUACACCCAAUGCCUGACAUUUUCAAUGCAGAAGUGAAUAUACAGUAGGUUCCUCCUCCCCUCGAGCCCCCAAAUCCCAGGUACAUUCCUCAAAUCUAAAUCACCUACACGAUGUUGGGGUUUUUAAUCCUCCAACUUAUACCAAGGUAUGAAGUUUAUUAAUGCUUUUUAGUGUCACAGGGCCCAUUGGAAGAAACUGCAGAGUCAUAUUUCCUUUUCUAAUGCACUUCUUUUCUCCACUCAUAAUGUGUAAGACUCUUACACCUAUUUUAUAGACUUUAUUGAUAUGCCUUUGUUCUAGUCUACCUUAAACCUUUCGGGAGGAAGAAGCAGAGUGCAAUAUUUGAAUAAAUAUAAAAUCAUAAUGCAUGUUUUACAUUAAAAUAUAGGACAAAAGUAAAGUAUAGUUUGUUUUGUAAGCCCUUUUUUUCCGAGUUAGUUUUCAGGUAUAUAGCUCUUUUGUUAAGCAUGAUACGAAGUUUGUCUGCUUUACAAAAUGAGGAGUUAGAAAAAGUGAAUCCUUCCUUUUAAAAAAAAAAACAAACAAACAAACAAACAAAAAAAAGCCAAAUGCCUCAUGAAAGCUGGCUUGCCAGCGUUUGCUCUGUCAUUAACCCCUGUGAGAAUCACGCAGUUCCCACUCUCAUUAAGUCAUAUAGGUCACCAUGGAUACAACUGCCUCUACUCAGCCCACAGUACGGGAGCAACAGCUGUUGAACCACACUUGGGACUUUUGCCAUUCACUGUUCUGUAUAAAUUGUACUGGUGAAACAUUUCAGAUAAUGUUACAAUUGUUUUUGAAAUUUUAAGUAUGUUGUAGGAAACAUCUGAAAUAUUAGACAACAGUAAAGGACUGAAAUUUAAUUUAACUUGUGAAAUAGAAUAACAAGUAAGAAGCACCGUACAUUUUGUGUAAUAAGAUGUUGCGGCACUUUCUUCAAAUUUUCUCCUAACCAAAAUGAAAUUUUAAUAACUAAACUGAUAGCUGCAGAUAAAAUCUACUUGGAAGAUUCUUUGACAAGCAAAUACUUAACUCUGGGCAAAAACCACAAAACAGUACUAUUUUAUACUAUAAUUUAUAAAGGAAGGAAUAUGUUUUCUGAUUUGUGAUGAUCAUUAUAUUUCUCAUCAAUAAGCUACUGUGAAUUCUAAAAUUCAGAAAAGUAAAAUAUGUAGUUAAAAUUUUACCCUUCUGCCUACCAUAAUUUUUCUAUAUUCAGGAUAUGGAUUAAAGAGAUUUUACUUUGUUUUAUGAAAAUGUGAUGAGAUGGUCUGUGAUCUGUGAUUGAAACAAAAAAAAAUC
RNAcentral lists this long non-coding RNA (3309 nucleotides) under Homo sapiens (human). RNAcentral describes it as "HSALNT0308155". The record is from RNAcentral. Lineage: Eukaryota; Metazoa; Chordata; Mammalia; Primates; Hominidae.